AGUAUUUAUGGUGCACCGCAAAAGAGUAAGUUAAAGCAAGGCUUUUUCAAGUGAAAAAGCCUUGCUCAACUUA
RNAcentral lists this transfer RNA (73 nucleotides) under Chlorobium chlorochromatii CaD3. RNAcentral describes it as "tRNA-Lys". The record is from RNAcentral. Lineage: Bacteria; Pseudomonadati; Chlorobiota; Chlorobiia; Chlorobiales; Chlorobiaceae.